This 253-nucleotide ribosomal RNA is filed under the name uncultured bacterium. RNAcentral's name for it is "partial 16S ribosomal RNA". It matches the Rfam family "Bacterial small subunit ribosomal RNA", at positions 524 to 776 of the family's 1533-position model. The record is from RNAcentral.
UACGGAGGGUGCAAGCGUUAAUCGGAAUUACUGGGCGUAAAGCGCACGCAGGUGGCUGAGUCAGUCGAUUGUGAAAGCCCUGGGCUUAACCUGGGAAUUGCAGUCGAUACUACUCAGCUAGAGUAUGGGAGAGGGUAGUGGAACUGCAAGUGUAGAGGUGAAAUUCGUAGAUAUUCGCAAGAACACCAGUGGCGAAGGCGGCUCACUGGCCCGAUACUGACGCUGAGGUGCGAAAGCGUGGGGAGCAAACAGG